GAAAUAGAACUUGAAACCCUAUGUUUACAAGCAGAUAGAGAGCGUUAAGGCUCGAUAUCGUACUUUUUGUAGAACGGUCCAGCGAGUUAUGUGUAUGAUGCGAGGUUAAAUACUAAGUGAGGUAUGGAGCCGAAGGGAAACCGAGUUUGAAAAGAGCGAAAGAAAGAGUAUCAUGCAAUAGACCCGAAACCGUGUGACCUAUCCAUGAGCAGGUUGAAACUUGAGUAAAAUCAAGCGGAGGACCGAACCGGUAUUCGUUGAAAAGGAUUCGGAUGACUUGUGGAUAGAGGAGAAAUUCCAAUCGAACACGGAGAUAGCUGGUUCUCCUCGAAAUAGCUUUAGGGCUAGCCUUGUUUAGUAGCAUGUGGAGGUAAAGCACUGAAUGUGUGAGGGGUCAUACCAGAUUACCAAACACUAUCAAACUAAGAAUGCCAUGUGUGUAAGAACAGGAGUCAGACAGUGACAGCUAAGUGCCAUUGUCAAAAGGGAAAGAGCCCAGACCAACAGCUAAGGUCCCAAAAUUAUAGUUAAGUGGAAAAGGAUGUGGGAAUUCAUAGACAACCAGGAUGUUGGCUUAGAAGCAGCCAUGCAUUUAAAGAGUGCGUAAUAGCUCACUGGUCGAAGUAGUCCUGCGCCGAAAAUUACCGGGGCUAAACUAUAUACCGAAGCUUUGGAUUUGUAUACAGAAGUAUAUGAGUGGUAGAGGAGCGUUGUGUACGGGAAGAAGUCAUACCGAGAGGAGUGGUGGACUGUACACAAGAGAGAAUGCUGGAAUAAGUAGCGAGAGCACAGUGAGAAUCUGUGCCACCGAAAACCUAAGGUUUCCUGGGGAAGGUUCGUCCGCCCAGGGUAAGUCGGGGCCUAAGAUGAGGCUGAGAAGCGUAGUCGAUGGGAAGCAGGUAAAAGAUUCCUGCACUACAAAUACGUGAUGAAGAGUUAAUGACGCAUGCUAAGAAGAUAAGCGAGCAAAUGGAAAAGUUCGUAUCGAAAGAUGGAGUGAAAGAAAGUAGCGAAGUAUCAGGAGAGUGUGACAAGAAAAGUUAACGUGGAGCGUAGGAGUACUCGUACCGUAAACCGACACAGGUAGGAAGAAAGAGAAUUUUCAGGUGAGCGAGAUAAAUAUUGUUAAGGAACUCGGCAAAUUAACCCCGUAACUUAGGGAUAAGGGGAGCCAACGAGAGUUGGUCGCAGUGAAAAGGCCCAAGCAACUGUUUAACAAAAACAUAGGUUUCUGCGAAAUCGAAAGAUGAAGUAUAGGAGCUGACGCCUGCCCAGUGCUGGAAGGUCAAGUGGAAAAGUAAGUGUGAAAAUGCGAAGCUUUGAAAUUAAGCCCCAGUGAACGGCGGCCGUAACUAUAACGGUCCUAAGGUAGCGAAAUUCCUUGUCAGGUAAGUUCUGACCCGCACGAAAGGCGUAAUGAUUUGGGCACUGUCUCAACAAUAUUCUCGGCGAAAUUGUAGUACUAGUGAAGAUGCUAGUUACCUGUGAUAAGACAGAAAGACCCCAUGGAGCUUUACUGUAGCUUGAUAUUGAGACUAGGUAGAGGAUGUACAGGAUAGGUGGGAGACGAAGAGACAUGCACGCAAGUGUAUGAGGAGUCAACGUUGGGAUACCACCCUUGCAACUAUUGGAAUUCUAACUAAUCGCCGUAAGCCGGAGAUAGGACAGUGUCAGGUGGGCAGUUUGACUGGGGCGGUCGCCUCCUAAAGAGUAACGGAGGCGUUCAAAGGUCAGCUUAGCACGGUCAGAAAUCGUGUGGAAAGUAUAAAGGUAGAAGCUGGCUUGAAUGUAAGAGUGACAACUCGAGCAAACGCGAAAGCGGGACUUAGUGACCCGAUGGUAGUGAGUGGAAAUGCCAGAGCUCAACGGAUAAAAGUUACCCUGGGGAUAACAGGCUUAUCU
Molecule: ribosomal RNA, 1902 nt
Filed under: human gut metagenome
Description: bacterial LSU rRNA
Rfam family: Bacterial large subunit ribosomal RNA
Source: RNAcentral